RNAcentral lists this ribosomal RNA (253 nucleotides) under uncultured bacterium. Its description in RNAcentral is "partial 16S ribosomal RNA". It matches the Rfam family "Bacterial small subunit ribosomal RNA", at positions 524 to 776 of the family's 1533-position model. The record is from RNAcentral.
UACGGAGGGUGCAAGCGUUAAUCGGAAUUACUGGGCGUAAAGCGCGCGUAGGCGGCUGGAUAAGUCGAUUGUGAAAGCCCCGGGCUCAACCUGGGAAUUGCAGUCGAGACUGUUCGGCUAGAGUGUGGGAGAGGGCAGUGGAAUUCCCGGUGUAGCGGUGAAAUGCGUAGAUAUCGGGAGGAACAUCAGUGGCGAAGGCGGGUCUCUGGGCAGUAACUGACGCUGAGGAGCGAAAGCGUGGGGAGCGAACAGG